GACGUUCAACCGCAAAACAAGCAGAGGGGGCUUAGUGGUGGGGUGACUGCGUACCUUUUGUAUAAUGGGUCAGCGACUUAUAUUCUGUAGCAAGGUUAACCGAAUAGGGGAGCCGGAGGGAAACCGAGUCUUAAUUGGGCGUUAAGUUGCAGGGUAUAGACCCGAAACCCGGUGAUCUAGCCAUGGGCAGGUUGAAGGUUGGGUAACACUAACUGGAGGACCGAACCGACUAAUGUUGAAAAAUUAGCGGAUGACCUGUGGCUGGGGGUGAAAGGCCAAUCAAACCGGGAGAUAGCUGGUUCUCCCCGAAAGCUAUUUAGGUAGCGCCUCGUGAAUUCAUCUCCGGGGGUAGAGCACUGUUUCGGCUAGGGGGCCAUCCCGGCUUACCAACCCGAUGCAAACUGCGAAUACCGGAGAAUGUUAUCACGGGAGACACACGGCGGGUGCUAACGUCCGUCGUGAAGAGGGAAACAACCCAGACCGCCAGCUAAGGUCCCAAAGUCAUGGUUAAGUGGGAAACGAUGUGGGAAGGCCCAGACAGCCAGGAUGUUGGCUUAGAAGCAGCCAUCAUUUAAAGAAAGCGUAAUAGCUCACUGGUCGAGUCGGCCUGCGCGGAAGAUGUAACGGGGCUAAACCAU
RNAcentral lists this ribosomal RNA (638 nucleotides) under Salmonella enterica. RNAcentral describes it as "partial 23S ribosomal RNA". It matches the Rfam family "Bacterial large subunit ribosomal RNA", at positions 566 to 1190 of the family's 2925-position model. The record is from RNAcentral. Lineage: Bacteria; Pseudomonadati; Pseudomonadota; Gammaproteobacteria; Enterobacterales; Enterobacteriaceae.